AUGGCACAACAGAGGGUUAUGAGGCAAUUUGGUCUUCUGCAGUUGGAGGUACCUCCCCCUAUAGAGAACUCGGUGCCAUCGCACAUCCACAGGACGACAAGGAAGGGCAUGACUAGGACAACUGUUGAGUGGCUAGUUAGACUAGAGCCGUAUGUUAUAGAAUGGGAGACAGCAAACACAAAUCUAUGUCACGAGAAUCACAAUUUUGAACUCAAUGCUUUCAAUCUCUAUUUGCGACGCUACAUGACUGGAACACGGUUACGCAUCGUUGAGCACUCUCACCCAGAGGAGAUAUCUGAUCCUACUCCGUCGGAUACGUACCUGAGCUAUGAUACUUCGGGCUCUAGGCAGUACGCGGCUACCUUGACACACGAACUCUACGACGACGUGACCACCUUUGAACAAUCACUAUCGUCAGGACCUCUUCUUCACCACCGUCCUGUCAUACAACCCUUCUUGGAACGGAUGCAGAACAAAAUACGGGCUGUCUACGAGGCUAUCACGUGCACCCGGAGAAGCGACGUUGUUCAGCGCCAGCACCAGCAGCCGCGUCCCUCCAUGCACCGACAUCAACCACGUCCACGUCUAGCACAUCAGCUGACGACCAGGCCACCCCCUCCUAAACAACCUGGCAGUUCAUCGUGGCAGCACCCACAACACUAUGGUCCCACGUCGAGCUUCGUGUUUCUCCACAGCCACAGCACCAUGGUCCUCGUCGAGCUUUGUGUUUGA
RNAcentral lists this ribosomal RNA (732 nucleotides) under Triticum aestivum (bread wheat). RNAcentral describes it as "partial small subunit ribosomal RNA". The record is from RNAcentral. Lineage: Eukaryota; Viridiplantae; Streptophyta; Magnoliopsida; Poales; Poaceae.